GGAGAGGUGGCCGAGUGGCUGAAGGCGCUCGCCUGCUAAGUGAGUAAGGGGUGAUGAACUCCUUCGAGGGUUCGAAUCCCUCCCUCUCCG
Molecule: transfer RNA, 90 nt
Filed under: Fidelibacterota bacterium
Lineage: Bacteria; Pseudomonadati; Fidelibacterota
Description: tRNA-Ser
Rfam family: tRNA
About the family: Transfer RNA (tRNA) molecules are approximately 80 nucleotides in length. Their secondary structure includes four short double-helical elements and three loops (D, anti-codon, and T loops).
Source: RNAcentral